Molecule: non-coding RNA, 72 nt
Organism: Podarcis lilfordi (Lilford's wall lizard)
Lineage: Eukaryota; Metazoa; Chordata; Lepidosauria; Squamata; Lacertidae
Source: the annotation of a GenBank genome assembly
AGAGCUGUAGCUCAGUGGUAGAGCAUCUGCUUUGCAUGCAGAAGGUCUCUGGUUCAAUCCCCAACACCUCCA